AUUGAACGCUGGCGGCAGGCCUAACACAUGCAAGUCGAGCGGCGCGGCGGCCGGGUGAGUAAUGCUUAGGAAUCUGCCUGGUCCUGGGGGAUAACGUUCGGAAACGGGCGCUGAUACCGCAUCCUCUCAGAUGCGCAUAGGUCGGAUUAGAUAGUUGGUGGGGUAAAGGCCUACCAAGGCGACGAGCCGUAGCUGGUCUGAGAGGAUGAUCAGUCACACUGGAACUGAGACACGGUCCAGACUCCUACGGGAGGCAGCAGUGGGGAAUAUUGGACAAUGGGCGCAAGCCUGAUGCAGCCAUGCCGCGUGUAUGAAGAAGGUCUUCGGGUUGUAAAGCACUUUAAGUUGGGAGGCGUUACCAACAGAAGAAGCACCGGCUAACUCCGUGCCAGCAGCCGCGGUAAUUC
Molecule: ribosomal RNA, 407 nt
Filed under: uncultured bacterium
Lineage: Bacteria
Description: partial 16S ribosomal RNA
Rfam family: Bacterial small subunit ribosomal RNA
Source: RNAcentral